This 21-nucleotide ribosomal RNA is filed under the name Rhizopogon villosulus. RNAcentral describes it as "partial small subunit ribosomal RNA". The record is from RNAcentral. Lineage: Eukaryota; Fungi; Basidiomycota; Agaricomycetes; Boletales; Rhizopogonaceae.
GGGACCUGCCGGAGGGUUMAU